Molecule: small nucleolar RNA, 138 nt
Organism: Ornithorhynchus anatinus (platypus)
Lineage: Eukaryota; Metazoa; Chordata; Mammalia; Monotremata; Ornithorhynchidae
Source: RefSeq, a predicted model, not a curated record
CCCUUCUCAGCAUCACACCUGGAGAGUUUCCAGCCUUCUACCAGUCUUGGCUAUGGGAGGGAGAGUCAAGCAGAGGCCUGUCCAUUCCAUUCUUGGCUUGGCCAGUGGCUAGAGAGUGGAAAGCAAUCUGCUGCAAGU